Molecule: ribosomal RNA, 468 nt
Filed under: uncultured bacterium
Lineage: Bacteria
Description: partial 16S ribosomal RNA
Rfam family: Bacterial small subunit ribosomal RNA
Source: RNAcentral
GACGAACGCUGGCGGCGUGCCUAACACAUGCAAGUCGAACGGAAAGGCCCUGCUUUUGUUGGUUGCUCGAUUGGCGAACGGGUGAGUAACACGUGAGUAACCUGCCCUUAACUUUGUGAUAUCUUCUCGAAACUGGGGCUCAUACCCGAUAUGAUCUCCUGCUGCAUGGUGGUGGUUGGAAAGUUUCGGCGGUUGGGGAUGGACUCGCUGCUUAUCAGCUUGUUGGUGUGGUAGUGGCUUACCAAGGUUUCGACGGGUAGCCGGCCUGAGAGGGUUACCGGCCACAAUGGGACUAAGAUACGGACCAGACGGCUACGGGAAGCAGAAGGGGGAAAUAUUGCAGAAUGGGGGGAAGCCAGAUGCAGAAGCGCCGGGUGCGGGAUGACGGCCUUAGGGUUAAAAACCGCUUUCGCCUGUGACGAAGAGUGAGUGACGGUAAUGGGUAAAGAAGCAACGGCUAACUACGUG